Molecule: ribosomal RNA, 821 nt
Filed under: uncultured bacterium
Lineage: Bacteria
Description: bacterial SSU rRNA
Rfam family: Bacterial small subunit ribosomal RNA
Source: RNAcentral
AGUUGUAUCCUGGCUCAGAACGAACGCUGGCGGCAGGCCUAAUACAUGCAAGUCGAGCGCGCCCUUCGGGGUGAGCGGCGGACGGGUGAGUAACGCGUGGGAAUAUGCCCUUCUCUAAGGAAUAGCCUCUGGAAACGGAGAGUAAUACCUUAUACGCCCUUCGGGGGAAAGAUUUAUCGGAGAAGGAUUAGCCCGCGUUAGAUUAUGUAGUUGGUGGGGUAAUGGCCUACCAAGCCUACGAUCUAUAGCUGGUUUGAGAGGAUGAUCAGCCACACUGGGACUGAGACACGGCCCAGACUCCUACGGGAGGCAGCAGUAGGGAACCUUAGACAAUGGGGGCAACCCUGAUCUAGCCAUGCCGCGUGUGUGAUGAAGGCCCUAGGGUCGUAAAGCACUUUCGCCAGAGAUGAUAAUGACAGUAUCUGGUAAAGAAACCCCGGCUAACUCCGUGCCAGCAGCCGCGGUAAUACGGAGGGGGUUAGCGUUGUUCGGAAUUACUGGGCGUAAAGCGCACGUAGGCGGAUUAGUAAGUUAGAGGUGAAAUCCCAGGGCUCAACCCUGGAACUGCCUUUAAUACUGCUAGUCUUGAGUUCGAGAGAGGUAAGUGGAAUUCCGAGUGUAGAGGUGAAAUUCGUAGAUAUUCGGAGGAACACCAGUGGCGAAGGCGGCUUACUGGCUCGAUACUGACGCUGAGGUGCGAAAGUGUGGGGAGCAAACAGGAUUAGAUACCCUGGUAGUCCACACCGUAAACGAUGAAUGCCAGACGUCAGCAAGUAUACUUGUUGGUGUCACACCUAACGGAUUAANCAUUCCGCCUGGGG